Molecule: small nucleolar RNA, 138 nt
Organism: Spodoptera frugiperda (fall armyworm)
Lineage: Eukaryota; Metazoa; Arthropoda; Insecta; Lepidoptera; Noctuidae
Product: small nucleolar RNA SNORA53
Exons: 1
Source: RefSeq, a predicted model, not a curated record
UGCACGCUCCUUAGAUCCGUUCCACCCUUAAUGUGAAACGCUUGAGUCAUAAGUGUGCUAGAUCACGAUACCUCCAGACUAAGACUGAGAUGUGAUAUCCCCUAAAUGGAAUACCACUUGUCUUGGAAUGGGGAACAU